UCCUUAUUCCUGUUUCCAGAUGGGAAGAAAAAAAAAAAAAGACCUGGUGCUAACAGAAGUCACCAACAAAGAUCUAUGUGCGUUUUCUCUCUGGGAAGCACCUGGAGAGUGCAGAUUUUGUGUUAUUUCUCUCUAUCUCCCUUCAGGGCUAGCACAGUGCUCAGCUCAUGCCAUUAAAUGAUUGUGGAAGUUAUGUAAAUUUAGGUUUCUGAAUUUGUUCUUCUCUCAGGUGAGCUGGGAGGAAUAUGCUUCAGCGAGAGUCCACAUGGCUUACCUCACAGGGGACAGAGGGAUCAUGGAUGAAGAUGGUUCCUUCUGGUGGACUGGUAGAGCUGAUGAUGUCCCAGAUGGUCCAAUGCAAUAAUGGCAAUACUGGGGACUCAAUGAGCAAAAUGUGCAAAUUUUCCAACUACCUGGGACAAAGGCAUUGCUGUUACUCCUUCGAAAUCUCAAGUCCACACCCUUUGGAACUCAGACUCUCACCCUUGGAGACAGUCACUGGACAUCCAUGCAUUCGACCACUGCCCCUUUUGACCCACAGGUGGGAAAAGGGGAUAUAUUUCAAUAAUGCAAACAUCUAGUUGCUUCUAUUAAAACUAACCAUGUUGUAGCAGAGCAAUCUUUUCACAGGCCACUCCCAGCGGACACUUACCUUGAUCAUCACACCUUGCAACCUGGAGAGUCUCUCCAUUGGAAAAGACACCUCCACAGAGAUUCUCUUCAACCUCCCUUGAGAGGCCCUUAUCACAUACUGCUAACCAAACCUUGUGCUGCCAAAUCCCAGGGAAUGGACUCUUGGGUCCACGGGACACAUUUAAAGAAGGCACCAAACCCUGACUGGACCUGUACACCAGCUGGUGACAAGAAGUCCUUUGUAGAAACACUGUCUCCAAUGAAGUGAUGCUGGCUCACUGGUCUCAGUCUUGAGCAGAUACAGACUUCACAUGGGAAGUUCGUGAGUUUCUCCCAUCUAACCCUCCCUGUUCCUCAGGUGUCACUUGAGUAGUUUACAACUGCCAUGCACAUUCCCUCCAACAUGAGACA
This is a long non-coding RNA of Mirounga angustirostris (Northern elephant seal), 1044 nucleotides long. RefSeq lists it as uncharacterized. The record is from RefSeq and is a predicted model, not a curated record. The transcript has 3 exons. Lineage: Eukaryota; Metazoa; Chordata; Mammalia; Carnivora; Phocidae.